GACGAACGCUGGCGGCGUGCUUAACACAUGCAAGUCGAACGGAAAGGCCCUGCUUUUGUGGGGUGCUCGAGUGGCGAACGGGUGAGUAACACGUGAGUAACCUGCCCUUGACUUUGGUAUAACUUCAGGAAACUGGGGCUAAUACCGGAUAGGAGCUCCUGCUGCAUGGUGGGGGUUGGAAAGUUUCGGCGGUUGGGGAUGGACUCGCGGCUUAUCAGCUUGUUGGUGGGGUAGUGGCUUACCAAGGCUUUGACGGGUAGCCGGCCUGAGAGGGUGACCGGCCACAUUGGGACUGAGAUACGGCCCAGACGCCUACGGGAGGCAGCAGUGGGGAAUAUUGCACAAUGGGCGGAAGCCUGAUGCAGCAACGCCGCGUGCGGGAUGACGGCCUUCGGGUUGUAAACCGCUUUCGCCUGUGACGAAGCGGGAGUGACGGUAAUGGGUAAAGAAGCACCGGCUAACUACGUG
RNAcentral lists this ribosomal RNA (468 nucleotides) under uncultured bacterium. RNAcentral's name for it is "partial 16S ribosomal RNA". It matches the Rfam family "Bacterial small subunit ribosomal RNA", at positions 28 to 507 of the family's 1533-position model. The record is from RNAcentral.